Molecule: long non-coding RNA, 670 nt
Organism: Oncorhynchus masou masou (cherry salmon)
Lineage: Eukaryota; Metazoa; Chordata; Actinopteri; Salmoniformes; Salmonidae
Exons: 3
Source: RefSeq, a predicted model, not a curated record
UGCAGUGCCCCGGUGGAAUGGGUUAAGAAAGGCUAUUCUAGUUUACCUCAAAACACAACUCAUUCAACUAAAAUGAGUUGAUUAGUUGAGUCUGGUGUUAGUGCUAAGUUGGAACUGUAUUAGUGUGCAGAAACAUAUCUGGUAAGACUUGAACUUUUAUGUUCUGAAAGUAUAACAGGCAGAUUUGAAAGACAAUAAUUGUUUGCAUUAACAUUUUAUUUUCCGGUCUCAGUAUUUUCGGAUCUGACCUAGCCACCCAAUUAAAUUGGUGCGGGAGAGGGCAUCAAGACGCGACAUGUGAAGGACAACAUAGUGGUGUCAGUUCUUAGAAAUGCAGCUCUGUUAGAAAUGACAGAGGCUGAUGUAGAGAAACCUGUUAAAUUGGCUCCGGCUGAGCCAAGACGGAGCAACAGGGAGGCGAAAUAAGGCCCAGUGGACUAAUGGAAGAGAGCAGAACAAGAAAGUGAUGAAAGUCGGGUUCAAGUCUGCCAGCAGACUUUUGUUGAAUCCCAAACGAACCCCUUGCCACCACCAACUUGCUCCAUUGGCAAGGGAAUGAAUAAACCCUUCAACUUUGGGACACACUCGUGACUUGAAUGAGUAUAAAAUGUAGCUCUACUAUGAUGAGACUGCGAUGCUGAUAUGAGCCCUACAUGCAUGAUGCCCACAG